RNAcentral lists this ribosomal RNA (516 nucleotides) under Rhinella cf. margaritifera VG-2014. Its description in RNAcentral is "partial large subunit ribosomal RNA". It matches the Rfam family "Bacterial large subunit ribosomal RNA", at positions 1926 to 2597 of the family's 2925-position model. The record is from RNAcentral. Lineage: Eukaryota; Metazoa; Chordata; Amphibia; Anura; Bufonidae.
AACGGCCGCGGUAUCCUAACCGUGCGAAGGUAGCGUAAUCACUUGUUCUUUAAAUGCGGACUAGUAUGAAUGGCACUACGAGGGUUAUACUGUCUCCUUUUUCUAAUCAGUGAAACUAAUUUUCCCGUGAAGAAGCGGGGAUACAACUAUAAGACGAGAAGACCCUAUGGAGCUUUAAACAAUCCAGCAGUUACUUCUAAAAUUAUUAAUUUCAGAAUAUUCAUUUUUUAAGUAAUGUGUCUGCAAGUUUUUGGUUGGGGUGACCAUGGAGAAUAACAUAACCUCCAUAUUGAAUGAACUCCCUUCUAAGCUGAAAAUUACCAAUUGAAGCAUCAACAUACUGACAUCUAUUGACCCAAUAUAUUUGAUCAACGAACCAAGUUACCCUAGGGAUAACAGCGCAAUCCACUUCAAGAGCCCCUAUCGACAAGUGGGUUUACGACCUCGAUGUUGGAUCAGGGUAUCCCAGUGGCGCAGCCGCUACUAAAGGUUCGUUUGUUCAACGAUUAAAACCCU